UAUUUUCUCCCAUUCUGUAAGUUGUCUAUUUGUUUUCUUUUUGGUUUCCUUUGCUGUGCAAAAGCUUUUCAGCAUUAUUAUUUUAAAGUAAAAUGAAGUGAACUGAAAUGCACUUGUCAUGAUGUACUGUAUACAGUUAGGAGUAAGCUUUAGAACUGUGUUGCUUUUUAUUGAUAAAAUUUGUUUGUUUCUCAUCAAAGCCUAAUUACCGUAGAUCACAUUACCCAUAUCCCAAGCUAUAGCUAAACAUAAACCACACUGGGAUGAUAUUUAGAAAUAAUUUCACAUGAUGGAUUCUGUCAUGGGGAGAGAGGAAGAAAUGUGUUCAUAAAUCACUUUGAACAAAAUUAAAUAUCAAGUUUAAAAUAAAAAAAAUCUUGUGAAUAAUUUCUGAAAGCUAUUUUAAGUGUGUUACAGUGGUUUAAAAUUACUUGAAUAUGAACCUAGCUCUAUUAAAAAAAAAAAAGGAAACAGAAAUAAACAGGAAAGUUUUAUAGGUUUCUCAUGGCAGCUUAUUUAAUGUAAGAUUGUCAGGCAGGUAUAUUCAAGACCAUUCUUCUACCUAAAAAAAAGGAAACAGAAAUAAACAGGAAAGUUUUAUAGGUUUCUCAUGGCAGCUUAUUUAAUGUAAGAUUGUCAGGCAGGUAUAUUCAAGACCAUUCUUCUACCUGUUGAAACUUCAAAUUUUACUUACAUGAAGUCAAUUAGAAUUACUUAUCAGUGUGUAUAAUUGAGUCACUUUGGUUAAAUAUAGAUGUACAUAUCUAAUAUAUAAAUAUGUAUUGAGGGUCUUACAAUAGAAAAGUUGAAGGAUCACCAACUCUGUGUUAUAGUAAUGAACGAAGUUUUAACACAAGAAAAACUAUAACUUCUCUGGUUGGAAGUGAAAAAAAAAAUCUGUGCCUUUCAUCUUUAAGAAAAGGUCUGAAGAUGCUGAUUCAUUUAAUUUCUUCCCUUUGUUAUAUUUUAUUGUGGAGGAGAUAAAGGGGUUGGUUCAGUUUAUUGAAAAAUAAAAGGCUCUUGUACUAACUUACAUUUAUUUAUGAGUCUAAGUGUCUAGAGAAAAGAAAAUGAUCUCUUACAAAAUAUGAAUUGAAUGCUGGUAAGACUAAUACAAAAAUGGUCUUCAGAGUCACUUAGUGUAAGGUUUGUGCUGACUGAGUGAUUUGCUAUUGUGGAGAUCUGGGAGGUGGAGUGGGGAAAACAGGAAAGAUGAGAAUGUGGAGGAGUUCCCAUCCUGGCUCACUGCUAACAAAACCAACUUGCAUCCAUGACGACACAGUUCUGUCCCUGGCCUCACUCAGUGGUUUAAGGAUCCAGUGUUGCUGUGAGCUGCGAUGCAGGUCACAGAUGCAGCUCAGAUCCUGCAUUGCUGUGGCUGUGGUGUAGGCCUGCAGAUACAGCUCCAAUUAGACCUGUAGCCUUGAAACUUCGAUAUGCUUCAGGUGUGGCCCUAAAAAGACCAAAAAAAAAAAAAAAAAAAAAAAAAAAAGAGAGAGAGAGAGAGACUCUUUUAGGUAGAGUGGGGUGGAGGCACAGAAGUUAUGGUUGUUGCAAGGCCACUUUCCUUUAUGGGAUGAUAGGGGUCUGUUAGGCACAUCAUCUAACUAGUGUUGAUCAGGUGAUUCCAGGUUGACUAGUUUAAGAUUCCACUUCUAAGAGCCAAAACCCUAAUUAAGUCUUGGUUUAGUGACCGUGACUGGAGCUUAGCAGAAGCAACUCCAUUUGGGGCCUGUGGUCUUGUUUUUUAGCUCCUAUCAGGAAAGGGGAGCUCUAAUGGUUUGUGAGGGGUGACAGCACAUCUCGAGGGUGCACUUUUGUGAGUCCAAGUCUGAACUCACUCUCCUGGGUCAGCUAGCAGCUCCAUGUGCUGCCUUGAACUGGGCCAAACAUGAUGGUCCUCUCUUGGUCUUCAUUUUUCAAUAUCUUAUUUUGCUAGUUACUCUGCAGGGCCUUUGGGAGCUUACAAUACAGGUAUUUGUUAUGUAUUUACUUCCCAUGUGGCUCACAACAUAAGUACUUGGUGUUGCUUCUACAGUGGCUGUGGCUUGACCCCUGACUUGGGAACUUCCACAUGCCACAGGUGAGGCCACUUGUUUAAAAAAAAAUUUUUUGAUACUGCUUCUGGGUGACCCAUCAAAACAUGCUCCUUAAGGGCAUGUUUCCCUCUUCAGGCAAAGGAGAGGGGGUGAUUUGUCCAUUUUUGUUUUAGACUAUAUAUUAUGUGUGUGUAUUGCGUAUGUACAUAUAUUUAAGAAUUGCUGGGCGUUCCUGUUGUGGCGGAGGGGAAACAAACCCGACUAGUAUCCAUGAGGAUGUGGGUUAGAUCCCUGGCCUCGCUCAGUGGGUUAAGGAUGCUGUGAACUGUGGUGUAGGUCGCAGACACUGCUUGGAUCUGGCGUUGCUGGGGCUGUGGUGUAGGCCAGCAGCUGCAGCUCUGAUUGGACCCCUAGCCUGGGAACCUGCAUAUGCCACA
RNAcentral lists this long non-coding RNA (2476 nucleotides) under Sus scrofa (pig). RNAcentral describes it as "lncRNA (ENSSSCG00000048043.1)". The record is from RNAcentral. Lineage: Eukaryota; Metazoa; Chordata; Mammalia; Artiodactyla; Suidae.